AAGUCGUAACAAGGUUUCCGUAGGUGAACCUGCGGAAGGAUCAUUAACAAUGAAUCUCUUUCAUUACACUGUGCACUGUCGGGCGAAAGCCCAAACUAACGCUUAACUUUAAUCAGAGUCAAACUAUAUUUAUAGUCUUGUACAACUUUUAGCAACGGAUCUCUAGGCUCUC
RNAcentral lists this unclassified non-coding RNA (172 nucleotides) under fungal sp. Its description in RNAcentral is "partial contains small subunit ribosomal RNA, internal transcribed spacer 1, and 5.8S ribosomal RNA". The stretch from base 1 to 46 matches the Rfam family "Eukaryotic small subunit ribosomal RNA", at positions 1786 to 1831 of the family's 1831-position model. The record is from RNAcentral. Lineage: Eukaryota; Fungi.